UUCCGGUUGAUCCUGCCGGACCUGACUGCUAUCGGAUUGGUACUAAACCAUGCGAGUCGUGGUAGCAAUACAAGGCGGACGGCUCAGUAACACGUAGUCAACCUAACCUAUGGACGUGGAUAACCUCGGGAAACUGAGAAUAAACCGCGAUAGAUCAUUAUGCCUGGAAUGGCUUAUGGUUCAAACAAUUUAUUGCCGUAGGAUGGGACUGCGGCCUAUCAGCUUGUUGGUGAGGUAAUGGCCCACCAAGGCUAUAACAGGUACGGGCUCUGAGAGGAGAAGCCCGGAGAUGGGUACUGAGACACGGACCCAGGCCCUAUGGGGCGCAGCAGGCGAGAAACCUUAGCAAUGUGCGAAGGCACGACUAGGUUAAUCCGAGUGAUUUCUGUUGAAGAAAUCUUUUGUCAGUCGUAAAACCACAGACGAAUAAGGGGUGGGCAAGUCUGGUGUCAGCCGCCGCGGUAAUACCAGCUCCUCGAGUGGUCGGGGCGAUUAUUGGGCCUAAAGCAUCCGUAGCCGGUUCCGUAGGUCCUCUGUUAAAUCCAACCGCUUAACGGUUGACCUGCAGAGGAUACCGCGGGACUAGGAGGCGGGAGAGGCGGACGGUAUUCCGCGUGUAGGGGUAAAAUCCUUUGAUCCGCGGAGGACCACCAGUGGCGAAGGCGGUCCGCCAGAACGCGCUCGACGGUGAGGGAUGAAAGCUGGGGGAGCGAACCGGAUUAGAUACCCGGGUAGUCCCAGCCGUAAACGAUGCUAGCUAGAUGAUUCAUUCGCAAGUCGCGAAUGAAGUGUCGCAGGGAAGCCGUUAACCUAUAAGGCUGCGGAGUACGGUCGCAAGNCUAAAGCGGGGGCCUUUAGGGGGGGGANCA
Molecule: ribosomal RNA, 869 nt
Filed under: uncultured archaeon
Lineage: Archaea
Description: bacterial SSU rRNA
Rfam family: Archaeal small subunit ribosomal RNA
Source: RNAcentral